UUUGAUAGUACCUUACUACUUGGAUAACCGUGGUAAUUCUAGAGCUAAUACAUGCUAAAAACCCCGACUUCGGAAGGGGUGUAUUUAUUAGAUUAAAAGCCAAUGCCCUCCGGGGCUUACUGGUGAUUCAUGAUAACUUCUCGAAUCGCACGGCCUUGCGCCGGCGAUGGUUCAUUCAAAUUUCUUCCCUAUCAACUUUCGAUGUUUGGGUAUUGGCCAAACAUGGUUGCAACGGGUAACGGAGGGUUAGGGCUCGACCCCGGAGAAGGAGCCUGAGAAACGGCUACUACAUCCAAGGAAGGCAGCAGGCGCGUAAAUUACCCAAUGGCGACACGCCGAGGUAGUGAAGAAAAAUACUGAUACAGGGCUCUUUAGGGUCUUGUAAUUGGAAUGAGUACAAUUUAAAUCCCUUAACGAGGAACAAUUGGAGGGCAAGUCUGGUGCCAGCAGCCGCGGUAAUUCCAGCUCCAAUAGCGUAUAUUAAAGUUGUUGUGGUUAAAAAGCUCGUAGUUGAACCUUGGGCCUGGCUGGCCGGUCCGCCUCACCGCGUGCACUGGUCCGGCCGGGCCUUUCCCUCUGUGGAACCUCAUGCCCUUCACUGGGCGUGGCGGGGAAACAGGACUUUUACUUUGAAAAAAUUAGAGUGCUCCAGGCAGGCCUAUGCUCGAAUACAUUAGCAAGGGAAUAAUAAAAUAGGACGUGCGGUUCUAUUUUGUUGGUUUCUAGGACCGCCGUAAUGAUUAAUAGGGACAGUCGGGGGCAUCAGUAUUCAAUUGUCAGAGGUGAAAUUCUUGGAUUUAUUGAAGACUAACUACUGCGAAAGCAUUUGCCAAGGAUGUUUUCAUUAAUCAGGAACGAAAGUAAGGGGAUCGAAGACGAUCAGAUACCGUCGUAGUCUUUACCAUAAACUAUGCCGACUAGGGAUCGGACGGUGUUAUUUUUUGACCCGUUCGGCACCUUACGAGAAAUCAAAGUGCUUGGGCUCCAGGGGGAGUAUGGUCGCAAGGCUGAAACUUAAAGAAAUUGACGGAAGGGCACCACCAGGGGUGGAGCCUGCGGCUUAAUUUGACUCAACACGGGGAAACUCACCAGGUCCAGACACAAUGAGGAUUGACAGAUUGAGAGCUCUUUCUUGAUUUUGUGGGUGGUGGUGCAUGGCCGUUCUUAGUUGGUGGGGUGACUUGUCUGCUUAAUUGCGAUAACGAACGAGACCUUAACCUGCUAAAUAGCCCGUAUUGCUUUGGCAGUACGCUGGCUUCUUAGAGGGACUAUCGGCUCAAGCCGAUGGAAGUUUGAGGCAAUAACAGGUCUGUGAUGCCCUUAGAUGUUCUGGGCCGCACGCGCGCUG
RNAcentral lists this ribosomal RNA (1348 nucleotides) under uncultured fungus. RNAcentral describes it as "SSU rRNA". It matches the Rfam family "Eukaryotic small subunit ribosomal RNA", at positions 120 to 1500 of the family's 1831-position model. Lineage: Eukaryota; Fungi. The record is from RNAcentral.